UCUUUCAGUCUUGGCCUGGUGCUCUGUCUCUCUUAAAAAAAAAAAAGAAAAAAGAAAAAGAAAGAAGAAAGGAAAGAAUGUAUUUUCCCCAUUACGAAAUAGAGUAAAUUUACUAAAUUAAAGAAAAAUGAAAAGAAUAAAUAUCAUCUCUUGUCUACGCCCUAGAGGCCACUGCUGGUGACCUUUGGGUGUUUCACUCCAGGCUUUUCACAUAGCUCUUGCUUGUAAACAACUUUGUAUACAACUUUGUCUUCCUACUGCACGGCACGCACCAUCUCGGACAGAAUUAGGGACAAAACGACAGUGGCAAGAAGAAGAGAAGAAGAAACAGGAGCAAGCAAUUUGUCCCGAGGGCGUGGGGGCAGUGCAGGCCAGAAGUCAGUUAGUCAGGAGAGGAAGUGAACGUUUAUUCAUCCUUUUGAGGACUGCUUUUUUUUGAGCCCCAAGUACCUGCUCUGUGGGAACACAGAUCCUAUAAUAAAACUGAAAGCAGGGGAAAAUAAAUCCACAGAUCAUGUCAACACUGUGGGAUAAGUGCUAAAACCACAGGAAGCCUGGGAGCAGAAGAAGCCAGAGGAUGGGGUAGGAGUCAGAGCCGGCUCUCUGGGAGAAGGACGCCCAAGCUGAACCUUGACCUACUGACCUGUAGAGUCAAGCCAGGAAGCUCUUGAAAGUCUCAAAGCGGGACGCUGACCCAACCGGACUGCACUUUGAUGAAGACCAAGCCUGCAGCUGAGGAGGAGCGAGGUGAGGAGUGCAGCACAGUGGAGGGGAGCCCGAGGACCGGAAGGCGAGUGAGGGCACUGCUGCGUAAAUCCAGGAGACAGAGCCUAUUUUCCAAAGUGAUCGUUCCAAUUUGCUCCCACCAGUGAUGCAUGUAAUUUUGAGUUGCUUCACAUCCUGGAAGAGUCCGUUUCUAAAUCUUAGCCAUCCAGGUCUGCAGUCUCUCCGAGGUUGCCUUUUAUGCACAGUGUGAGAUGUCAUCUAACGACCACCACAAUGGAGAUACCGAAUGUUCCAUCAGACACUCCCCUGGCCCCAGAACUUAAACCAGCAGAGGGAGACAGAUCCCCAGCAGAGCACAGUGGAAAACGUUUUCCAAUUUCCUGCGUCCUCCCGGUGUCCCUGCCUUCUCCACGGUCUCCUGGGCUGAUCUUGCCGCUUCCAGAGCCCUUCCUACUGUCUCCCUCCAACCGAAGCUUAGAUUCGUGAGCUGACUCCUUCGGGCACACAGGGUAGCUUGCUGGCUCAUCUGGCGGAAGAGAGGAGGCCUUCUGAACGCAAGCCCUCCCGGGAAACCGGUUCGCACGUAACAAGGAACUUGGAUGCUGAAACCCAGAGUCUUGAAGAGAGAAUUGUAGACACUGAGGCAGAGGAGAUGUUUGGAAGGGGCUUUCGGUCUGAGACUUUUCCAGAUCCCUCAGCUCACAGCGGCACAGAGGCCUGCACCCUGCUUCCGUUCUGAGAGCGCGUUCCCGCUUCCCAUGCAACCUCAGCAACCUCAGCCUGUGUCUGGGAAGAAGCUGCCCUCGGCCUCUUCCUUCCAGAAAACAGCAGGCUGUUUUGUUGUUUGGUUGUCUCUCACACGUCCAGUUCCUCCAGAGCUUCCGGACCCCUUUUCCUUGGCUCCCGAAGGGAGCACCUGGAAUGUUCACACUCUACCUGGAGAACCGCGCUGUCUCCUCGGGCAUUUCUGCUGCACAGGAGAGAAAAAGCUAGUUCAUUUAAGCCAAAAACUUAAGUAGGGACUGGAUUCAAAAACAAGCCUUUCUCAAAAAAAAACACCUCCUCCUUUGCCUGUGGUUACUAGAGGCAAGUCAUGAGCCUCUUUUGCAGAUAGCGCUUGAAUUAUUGGUCUGGUUCUAACAACUGGCACUUUCCAGCAGGACGUUAGGGAGUGAAGUGUGUGCACCAUGAUAGAAGACGGUUUGGAAGCCACCCUAGACAAGGAGGGCUGAGCCUGCAGGAAGGAAGUUGUGAAGGGUCACCGCCCAGCACGGGACUGCACUUAUUCUCUGCCGCUCCAGAGAGCCAAGCGAGAACCAGCAGCUGGUCUUGGGCAUGCGGCAUAAGGGAAGAUGGUGGGGAAGUGGUCCGUGGAGAAGUGGUGCAGCCAGGGGAAACUAGUGCAGCUGGAGUCUGACUCCAGCAAGGGCUUCUUAGCACCCAAAGCCCGGCCUGAGAGAAUGUGGUAAACAGCAUGAUUCGGGCAGCCACUGGCAUCGAGUGAUCCAACCCAGUGGGUGGGCAAAGCAGCAAGGGAUGCUAGGCAGCAUUUCAGAAGUCCUUCCUCAAGGGACCAUAACAGCUAACGUAGGGAGUGUGGGGGCAGGACGCAACAGGAUGAAGGUAUGGCCCCAGUACCUAAUCACCACCCAAGUUCUGGACAAGGCCCCAGUCACAGGGGGAAGCUGGGGAACAGCACAGAAACUAAGUGAGCAGAUCCUUGGUUAAAGCCAACCCCCACAGACUUGGCUAGUGGAAUGGGCUGGGGAGGGAGGGAGGAGAAGCAUAAGGAGGGCUCGGGUUCGAGGUCACUUCAUGGGGCCCAGGAUGCACCAGGCCCAUGGUGUGCUGGCCGUGGAGGGGUCUGGCAGUGCAUGUGGGCCCGUGAAUGAGACGUAGUGUGUGGAGUUGAGGAAGAGACAACAAAGCGGGGCUGAUGGAGAGGCUACCUGAGGAGAUGCGGGUGAUGAAGGAUCGGGAAAGCUCGUGCAGAGACCAGUGCCCUGCUGGGAGGGGAGCUUUCAGUGUGAGAGGGUUAACCGCUUGGCCUUUAAGGCCCAAGCCAGCUCUAAUGCACUGAUCCUACGGGGCCCGUGAGACACAAGGCCUGGGAACCACCCUCUCCAGGUGCUCCCUGUCUAUACUCAACUGUCCGUCCUCCUCCUUGUUUGGAAUCGAGUGUUUCAAGAACAGGUUCCCUUGGCAAUCUAGUUAGAAUGUUGUCAGGCCAGCUUGUACUCCACCCCAGCAUCUCGCAGUCUCUCCAAACUGGGGUCUCUUGGCCUCCCUUGUGGGUGCAGCCCUGUCGCAGCCUCCAGGCUCCGCUCUGCGGCAGCAGGUGCACAGAACAGCAGAGCUAGUUCGGGCUCGUCUGGUGUCCGCUUCUGAUGUGUGAACUUGCUCCUGUUUCUGAGACUUGCGGACUCCGCUGGGGUUAACUGGGGAUUUGCCUUGCUUCUCAUACUCGGAUCUGUUAUGGAAACCCUGGGCCUUGGCUUGCACAUCCCAGGCUCGGUAGCUGGGCCCUGAUAUCUGCUGACUCCUUUUCCUGAUGGCAGCUUCUGCUUGUCCAAACUGCUGAGCGUCCCGUGCCUCCAGUCAUCCUGAUAGGCUUACCUGCAGCCUACUCCUCAGUACAUAUAUGCUGUUCUGCUGUUCUAGCAUCACUGUCGCUGGUGCACCCAUCUCCCAGGUUCUGACUGUGUCCCGAAAGUAGAGCCAGCAUGUGGGCUGUGAGAGAAAGAGAUGAGCAAAGAAAAAUUCCAAGGUUUUUGGCUUGGAAAACCGGAAGGAAGGAGUUGCCGACCGAGAUGGGCAAGGCUGUAAGUAGAACACGUGUGGGGGAUUAGCAGUUCAGUUUUGACUCGCUAAGUCAGAGAUGUCCAUUAGCCAUCCUGGGAUGGAGCCUGAGUUGGCCACUGGACAUAUUCCUCUGGAGUGUGGGGGAGAGGCCUGGACUGGAUGUUGUUGUUUUGGACAUUGUUGGCACAUAGAUGGCAUUUAAGACAUUGCGCUGGGUGAGAUCACCAAUGGGUUGACAUAGAUACAAAAAAGAAAAAGUCCGAGACAUUCCUGCAUUAAAAGAUUGGGAAGAAGAGGAGGAACCAACAAAGAAGACCGCUUACUGGAAAGUGCCUGCUUUUUCCAGCAAAUAAUUAGUAACCAUGACCAUAGAUGACCACAGAUGUGCGUUAGGACCUGAGCAGUUUUUCUCUUUGUGUGUUUGUUUAUAGCGUGCCUCACUUUACACACAGACAAGACGGCACAUACUCACCAUCAGCAAAGGUCCUUUUCAAUAUUUCCUACCGCAGACGGGGGUUGGCUCCACGGCUCCCUCAUUUUCUCUCAUGUGGGGUCGGCGGUGUGCGUCGGCGGUAAGACGCCGCGGAGGCAGAAGCAGAGACUGUCCCGGGAGCGGUGCGGUGCAUAGCGUCACAUCGGAUGGAAUACGCGGUUUAAGAAGAAUCUUCCCUCUGCAAACACGCUCGCCGAUCACACCUGCGGGGGGCCUGGCUUUCUGUGGUUCACAUAUUCUUCAUCCGCAUUCAACUUUUCCUUUAACGUGAGAGUACUUCUGCUGCAUCAGUGACCUCCUUGGGCCAAAUGUUAAGUACAGUUUAUGCUAAGCCAGUUUAUUUCUGCUAAAAGUAGACCUCUGCUUAUCAUGUCUGUCCUUUCUUCCCUCGAAGACAGACAAACGAAUAAAGCCAGCCACCUCGAGAAGCUGAUGCUCUCGGCACAGGGCUGAGUGCUAUGCUAGGAACAGUUCCAUCUGCUAAAUGCCUACACAGGGCUGGUAGUAAAAAUCACAGCAAAUUUCCAUCUUUUCCUGCAACACCCAAGUCCUUCCAAGGAAACUCCCCAUCCGGCCACAUGAGAUAAAAUUAGAAACCUGCUAACUUUGCUGCCUCCCCAGGACUGCUAACUUCAACAGAGGCUGCAUUUCUUCAAUUACGGAACUAUAAACAGUAAGCUAAUAACAACGGAGAAGAGGAAAACAACAAUAAAGAAACAAAAACUAACAAAACCCUUCUGUAUUCAUGUUCUUUUCCACAAGUUGGUUCCCAAAGCUUCCUUCCUUUUGCUGAAAAAUGGUAUCAUUAAAGUUAUCAAGAGAAUGCAAAAUGCCAAUAUAUUUCUCCCUUAGGGGCAGGGCUUAAUCUGUGGUUGUCAAAGAUUUGUGAACAUAAGAAAUAAUCAUAUGGCGGUUUUGCUUUUGGCUCAAUUACCCUCCUUCUAUAAAUGUGUCCUUGCCUCAAAGUGGGUGACAAAGGCCACCCACUGAAGUACAGGAAGACAAAUCAUAGACUGUGUGGAAAUGACUCAAGAUUCUCAUCCAUUUUCCUUCUUGUGUUUGUGAUUUAAAUACAUUUACUAUAUUCAUAUGGUAGUAAAUAUUUGUUACCGUCUAAUCACAUCUAACCUGGACAUUGUUAAUUCAUGAGCUGAAGAGUCAGGGUAAUAAGAAUGGAUCAAAAAGCCUCUAUGGAUUGUUUUCCAAGAUCCAGGUUCAGAGCACCUAUGCAGCAGCUUCAGACCUGUAUAACCAACUGCCUGUUCCAUUGGGUUAUCUCAAAGCACAUCAAAUGCAAGGCGUCUAUAACCAAGCCAAAUAUCUUCCUUCUCCAUCCUCAUCCUCUUCCAGGGUUCCCCUAACUCACUGAAUGGCAUUAGUUGUGAAAGCCAGAAAUCUAGGUGUCAUCUUUGACUCAACCCUUUCCUCACUCACCCAAUCCAUUAUCAAGUCAUGUCAAUUUUAUCUACUCCAUCCCUCUGGAGAUUACCACUGCCACUACCAGAAUGGCUCACUGUCUGCUGAGGUCUCCUGUCUAUACACACCAUCCAUCAUUAGCCCUCUAGAGUCCACUCUUCACACUAAUACAGCCUGUCCAUUUUCCACUAAACUUCGCAAAUAUUAUCAUGAAAUACUUCACAAACACCAAAGAAAAAAACAAAUAAAUAUGUACACUGUAAAGCAAAAGAAAUAUUCAUGAAACCACCAUCCAAAUUAAAACAUUACAAUCAUCAAAUCUUUUUUUCAUGCAAAAGUGAUUCCCUUGCUUCAAGUUCACAUAAUUCAGUCACAUAGGUGUUUCAAUUCUUAGGUUCUGGCUGCUCCUUCUUACUUCAGAAUCUUUGCUGUUGCUCUGGUUUAAAAUAUGCUCUCCCACCUUCAUUUUCUGCCCUUUGAACGUCUCUUCUGCAACCCUCCUGAGUACCCGGAUUUUCCUUCAAAGCUCUUUCAUUUGAAAUGACAUAUUUAUGACAGAUUGUUACAAGUCUAAAAGCUCCAUGUGGGCACAGACUGUAUCUUUUUUGCUUCUCAGUGCAGCAGUCAUACCCACAUAAUACCCUGGCACCAGUGAGUGUUUGUUAGAUGAUCAAAGUCAGGUGACUUGCCUGAGUUAUGGAUGGAUGGCAGGGGAAGGAGAAAGCUUAGAACUUCCUAGGUAGUGCAGCCACUGCAUAUGAAACGGUUCUCCCCAUCAGUGAGUCCCACCUUUAAUGGAUUCUAGCCUAUGAGGUUGUAUGUCUCCUGGAAGGAUUGCCUCAUGUGAUUACCUCAGCCUUAGAUAUGCUCCAUGGACAUAUGAAGCUUCAGUCCGUGAGCCUUUCCAUGGUGUCUCCACUCAUUUAGCUACGGCUUAUGUACAAGUGCCCUUAGGACUAGUAUUUUAAAAGUUCACAUCUUUACUUUGAUCUUGCUCAGUCACGAACCUGUCCUAGCAACAUCAGCAUCAUAGCGGAGUGAGGUUUCCCAGUAAUCUCUCCCCUCC
Equus caballus (horse) is the source of this 6503-nucleotide long non-coding RNA. RefSeq lists it as uncharacterized. The record is from RefSeq and is a predicted model, not a curated record. NCBI's taxonomy places the organism in Eukaryota, Metazoa, Chordata, Mammalia, Perissodactyla, Equidae.